GACGAACGCUGGCGGCGUGCUUAACACAUGCAAGUCGUACGGUAAGGCCCUUUCGGGGGUACACGAGUGGCGAACGGGUGAGUAACACGUGAGUAACCUGCCCACAACUUUGGGAUAACGCUAGGAAACUGGUGCUAAUACUGGAUAUGUGCCCCUGCUGCAUGGGGGGGGUUGGAAAGCUCCGGCGGUUGUGGAUGGACUCGCGGCCUAUCAGCUUGUUGGUGGGGUAGUGGCCUACCAAGGCGGCGACGGGUAGCCGGCCUGAGAGGGUGACCGGCCACAUUGGGACUGAGAUACGGCCCAGACUCCUACGGGAGGCAGCAGUGGGGAAUAUUGCACAAUGGGCGCAAGCCUGAUGCAGCAACGCCGCGUGCGGGAUGACGGCCUUCGGGUUGUAAACCGCUUUCAGCAGGGACGAAGCUUUUUGUGACGGUACCUGCAGAAGAAGCACCGGCUAACUACGUG
Molecule: ribosomal RNA, 465 nt
Filed under: uncultured bacterium
Lineage: Bacteria
Description: partial 16S ribosomal RNA
Rfam family: Bacterial small subunit ribosomal RNA
Source: RNAcentral